Molecule: non-coding RNA, 793 nt
Filed under: Neobacillus bataviensis LMG 21833
Lineage: Bacteria; Bacillati; Bacillota; Bacilli; Caryophanales; Bacillaceae
Description: Bacillus bataviensis LMG 21833 Bacterial large subunit ribosomal RNA
Rfam family: Bacterial large subunit ribosomal RNA
Source: Rfam by way of RNAcentral
AAAGAGUGCGUAAUAGCUCACUAGUCGAGUGACCCUGCGCCGAAAAUGUACCGGGGCUAAACAUAUUACCGAAGCUUUGGAUUGAUAUUUUAUCAAUGGUAGGAGAGCGUUCUUAACCGCGAUGAAGGUAUACCGUGAGGAGUGCUGGAGCGUUAAGAAGUGAGAAUGCCGGUAUGAGUAGCGCAAGAUAAGUGAGAAUCUUAUCCACCGUAAGACUAAGGUUUCCAGGGGAAGGCUCGUCCGCCCUGGGUUAGUCGGGACCUAAGGCGAGGCCGAAAGGCGUAGUCGAUGGACAACUGGUUGAUAUUCCAGUACUAGAUAUGAUCGUGAUGGAGGGACGCAGUAGGCUAAGAGAUGCCAGUUAAUGGAUUCUGGUCUAAGCAGUGAGGUGUGAGAUGUGUCAAAUGCAUUUCUCUCUAACAUUGAGCUGUGAUGGGGAAGCAACUACGGUUGCGAACUCUCUGAUGUCACACUGCCAAGAAAAGCUUCUAGCGUAAAGUCAUAUCUACCCGUACCGCAAACCGACACAGGUAGUCGAGGCGAGUAGCCUCAGGUGAUCGAGAGAACUCUCGUUAAGGAACUCGGCAAAAUAGCCCCGUAACUUCGGGAGAAGGGGUGCUGGUGUAAAAGCCAGCCGCAGUGAAUAGGCCCAAGCAACUGUUUAUCAAAAACACAGCUCUCUGCUAAACCGCAAGGUGAUGUAUAGGGGGUGACGCCUGCCCGGUGCUGGAAGGUUAAGAGGAGUGCUUAGACGUAAGUCGAAGGUAUGAAUUGAAGCCCCAGUAAACGGCGG